This 562-nucleotide ribosomal RNA is filed under the name uncultured bacterium. RNAcentral's name for it is "bacterial SSU rRNA". It matches the Rfam family "Bacterial small subunit ribosomal RNA", at positions 1 to 457 of the family's 1533-position model. The record is from RNAcentral.
UUUCGUACUCGCGAAUGCAUCCGAUGAUUUANUGAUCCUGGCUCAGAGCUGAACGCUGGCGUGUAAGCCUAACACAUGCAAGUCGGACGGCAGCACAGGAGAGCUUGCUCUCUGGGUGGCGAGUGGCGGACGGGUGAGGAAUACAUCGGAAUCUACUCUGUCGUGGGGGAUAACGUAGGGAAACUUACGCUAAUACCGCAUACGACCUACGGGUGAAAGCAGGGGAUCUUCGGACCUUGCGCGAUUGAAUGAGCCGAUGUCGGAUUAGCUAGUUGGCGGGGUAAAGGCCCACCAAGGCGACGAUCCGUAGCUGGUCUGAGAGGAUGAUCAGCCACACUGGAACUGAGACACGGUCCAGACUCCUACGGGAGGCAGCAGUGGGGAAUAUUGGACAAUGGGCGCAAGCCUGAUCCAGCCAUACCGCGUGUGGGUAGAACGANACGUGCCUAUACGGGUUAGUCAACAGCCCUAUUCGUUGGGCAAAGANAUCCACGCCCGNCCUCAAUACCUGUUUGGCGCAUCGACNCGUACCCCCCACACUCCUCCGNGUACUUCCUCCCCC